RNAcentral lists this non-coding RNA (244 nucleotides) under Bacillota bacterium. RNAcentral describes it as "Firmicutes bacterium T-box sequence". It matches the Rfam family "T-box leader". From Rfam's summary of the family: Uncharged tRNA acts as the effector for transcription antitermination of genes in the T-box leader family. T-boxes are found upstream of many aminoacyl-tRNA synthetase genes and some amino acid biosynthetic genes usually in Gram-positive bacteria. The record is from RNAcentral. Lineage: Bacteria; Bacillati; Bacillota.
ACAAGAGCAAUGAAAAGGAGAGUAAGCGACAACGCUAUGCCACAGAGAGCCUCAGCAAGCUGAAAAGAGGCGCAGGAGCAACCGCUGAAGAUGGCCUUGGAGCUUCGCACCGAAUAUCCCUUGGAUUAUAAGGCUGCGACGGGCGCGCCCGUUAUUGCGCAGGAGUCCUUUGGACUUUAUGAGGUUUUUUCCGUGAGGAAAAAGCGAAGUAAGGUGGUAACACGGCAAAACGCCCGUCCUUUCA